Molecule: long non-coding RNA, 4350 nt
Organism: Callithrix jacchus (white-tufted-ear marmoset)
Lineage: Eukaryota; Metazoa; Chordata; Mammalia; Primates; Cebidae
Source: RefSeq, a predicted model, not a curated record
GCAUUAGACCCCCUUGACCCCUGGGGCCCCCAGUCUGGCAGGUGGGUGGAGCCCGCCCCAUUUACCUGCUGGAUACCUCGCGAGAUGCGUCUUGUAACUGUUCGUCUUGUAAAGGCCCAUCCCCGGAGUUUAACUCUGAAUCUUAUGCAAAAGCAGGGCAGGGAGAGCUUUUAUGAUGUGAUUUUAUUUAUUUGUAUAGUUACUUUACAUUCGGAGUAUCGCUCUGUCGCCCAGGCUGGAGUGCAGUGGCGCGAUCUCGGCUCACUGCAACCCCUUCAUCUCGGGUUCAAGCGAUUCUCCUGCCUUAGCUUCCCGAGUAGCUGGAACCACAGGCGCCCAGCUAAUUUUUAUAUUUUUGAUAGAGACGGGUUUCUCCAUGUUGGCCAGGCUGGUCUCGAACUCCUGACCUCAGGUGGUAUGCCCUUCUUGACCUCCUAAAGUCCUGGGAUUACAGGCGUGAGCCACCGCGCUUGGUCUUUUACAAUUGGAGACAGGGUUUCACGUGUUGGUCAGGCUGGUCUCCAACUCCUGAAAUCGUGAUCCGCCCACCUUGGCCUCCCAAAGUCUUGGGAUUACAGGCCUGAGCCACCAUGCCUGGCCUUUUACAUUGUGAUUUGAAAGCUGACAGUGCUUGUGCAGACAAACUGGGUAAGGUGCUAACCCCUAACUCUCAAGGCCCCACUCCAAACCUUUGGAAUUAGAAUCUUCCAGGAGAGGUGGACAAAACGAGUAAUUCCCUUUCCAUAUGUCAGGUUAUCUUCUUGACUUGAAAAGUCCCAUCCUGAAUCUCAGGAUGGAGACCAUGGGAGAAAAAUAUCCGCAUUUACUGGGCCUGAAAUGGGAAAAUGUAAAAUGGGAGAAGAAAUUGACUAGGGCACAAGGGUGAUGGGUAUGGGAAUGUUUUUCAUCCUGGAAUGAAAUGCUUCUUUUGUGUACCCAAGCUCUCAUGUUGCUUCCUGAGUUAUUGGGAAUUGGGGAAUUUUUUUUUUUUUUUUUUUUUUGGUAAGUCUUGUUCUAUCACCCAGGCUGGAGUGCAGUAGCAUAUCAGGUAACUGCAACCUCCGCCUCCGGGGUUCAAGCGAAUCUCCUGCCUCAGCCUCCCUAGUAGCUGGGACUACAGGCAUGCGCUACCACACCUGGCUAAUUUUUGUAUUUUUAGUAGAGACGGGGGUUUGCCAUGUUGGGCAGGCUGGUCUUGAACUUAUGACCUCAAGUGAUCCUCCUGCCAGCCUCCCAAAUUUUUGGAAUUAUAGUCAUGCGCCACCACACCCAGUUGAAACUCUCCAUUUUACCUUUCCUUUGUGAAAUCUGUGAGUACCCAAAUGCAGCCAUUUAUGUCAAACCCUAAGAAAACUGACGCUGGAGGCCACAAGGGGGGGGGGGUGGCCUUGCACUUGUGCUUGUAAUGGGAGCCGCCACAAAGGUCUUUCCCUACCAGAAGUUUGGGUUAAGCCACUUCUGUGAAGACCGUCUGUGAGCAACAGCCAGCCCCGCCAGUUAACAGAGGCCACCACCACACAGGCUCCUGUUGCCACUGAUGUUUGUGUCAGGAUAGCUGACGCGGACUUCUUUUUGCCUACAGAAGCUCGCCCUUGUCCCAGUCUGAGAUGAGCCUGUGGACGAACCCUGGAUUGCAAUCCUUUGCUGUUUGCAAACAGCCUCUUGUUUUUGAGAAUUGGUUUCUCUUGCUCAUUUUAGGUUGCUAGAAGCUGGUGUAGGCAAUAAGAAGCCAGCUUUGAUCAUUUCAGUAGCAUAAACACCAGAGUUACAGAAGGAAGAAAACAAAGCAGUCCAUAUUUAACAUUUAUUUUACUUUGCUGAGCAAAAAUCAUAGCGGCUACCAUGGCUGCUUAGUUUAGACAAAAAUAACACGGAGGCAUCCACAGGAUUAGUUACACAGCAUCAACCUAUCACCACAGCAGAUUUAACCAGUGACUCCCUAAGUUAACAGAAUCAUUUGCUAGAAAGCACUAGUCUAGUAAUAGAAAUACUGAAAUGCGUCACAUACAAAACACUAUAAACACAUGAUGUGCUUUUAGUUCUCCAUAGUUUGAUAUAAAGGAAAUAGAAUUUGGCUCUGACGUAGGAUAUUGCUAACGAAUUUUCAAGUUUUCCCAUGUAGGGAAAGUUGCCCUGACUCUCCCUUUUCAAGGUGGAGCCUCCAAACACCACAUGGGCAAGUCAAGACACACACAUCUGCAGUCAGUCUGAAAAAGCAAGUCAGCUGAAUGACAAAUGAAAUGGAAAACAGAAAAGGCCUUUGCUAGUUGCAAGUUUCCAACUGAGUUUCCACGAACAAGGAUCCAGCAGUCAUCACACUGAAACAGGUGGCGCACAAGGAAAAUGGAAAAAAUACUUUCGAGGCAGGAAAGCUGCAGGUUUCUGUGCUCUGAGUAGAUGACCCACUGUUGUAUCCUCAGCCAGGGCAGAGAACUAGCCAGAUUUAUCGGGGAGCUGGGACACUCAUUAUAUGAACGAAGGCCCCUAGCAGCGUGGGUAUGUAUGUUGGGAAAGAAUAAUGCCCUUAGUACAAUGUUGGUCAAGGCAAAAGAGCAGCCUAUUUCUAUCUGUAACAACAUUCUUCCUUACUUCUUCCAACAGGGAGGUAUUUUCAGGCCUCAGGACAUCAUUUGGACAGAUGGUAAAAGCUGUCUUGUUCCCGUUCCUCCCACUGACCCACUUGAGUGACCCUCUGGGAGCAGGGCAGCAGCAAGCAGAGCUCACUGGUUUUGUGGCAAGGGUUUUAAAGGCAUGCUACAAAGCAGAGCUCUAUUUGGCUGAUAUUCUUUGUACAGCUUUUUAAGAUUACUGCUUCUGACUCAGCAUGUUAAUUUUUCACAAAUUACACAUUUUGGGUUGGGCAAGUGUUCUCCUCUUCCCAAGCAGGCAGGUUAUUUUAAUACUGUUAUACAGGGAAUUAUGACUGCUGGAUUUUCAAAAUCUUUUUAUGCCAUUCAGUAGGGAGUUUCCUUGAAAGCCAGAGAGCUGCACAUCUCUAAGUAUCGAUGCAAGUGAGCAGAUGACUCAGUCCAGGAGGUGGUUCAAGAGUUGUGUGUUUACAAAGGCACGGACAGUGACGAUGGACACACCCAAUGGAAGUCAGACAUGCAGUGCCAGUGCUUCUGUAAGCACAUCUGUGACCAUUCAACAAGAACGUACUAUUCUAUAAGAGUAUUAGACAAAGUGAUUUAAAAAAUGUGUCUGUAUAGUCAUUAACAUGGCCCAGCCAGGCCUUGGGUUUUGCCUCUGGUGCUGGGCUGUUCUGGGAAUGCUUUGAAGACUGGUGACUGGAAACUGACUUGGGAGUGGAGAGGUGACUGAGGGAGGGGGCAGGGGAGGGGAUGGUGUGCCUGGGUAAGGGCACAGCACUGGCCACUGCACGGGCUCCAGAGCAGCAUUACACAGGAAAUCACCCUAUUUGUUAAUCAUUUGGAAAAACAUUAUCUGGUCCACAAACAGAAAAUCAAAACAGGCUGGAAGCUCCUUGUGAGGGUGGAAGGGAAGGCACCACAGGAUGUGCACCAGAAAUUCCAAAGGUGCUCAGAACCAGGCAUCUGCACCUCUCCUUACACCAGACCAGUAUUCAAAGAAGCCAGUGGGAAACCUGGUAGCCACAUUCUCCACGGGGAGGUGGACAGGGCCACCCUGGGGGUUGCUUUCAAUUCUGGUGCUCACAGAUCACCAACCCCCACCCAUGCCACCUCCAGGGCAUUUUCUUUCCAUUAGCUUUUGAGGAAAGAGAAAAGAGAAAGGGAAACCCAGGAAAAAUCAUGAGAAAAAUGUGUUCACGGUGCAGUGGUUUUAUAAAAGUGGCCAGAGGCAGGUGCAGUGGUUCAUGUCUGUAUUCCCAACACUACGGGAGGCUGAGUCGGAAACACUGCUUGAGCUCAGGAGUUCGAGACCAGCCUGGGCAACACAGUGAGAUCCCCAUCUACAAAAAAAUAAAAGCAGCCAGGCACAGUGGCAUAUGCCCAUGGUUCCAGCUACAUGAGACUGAGUGGGAGGACUGCUUGGGCCUGGGAGGUCGAGACUGUACUGAGCAAAGAUCAUGCACUGUACUCCAGCCUGGGUAACAGAGCAAGACUGCCUCAAAAAAAUAAGGUUGCUUGUGGGUUAAAAAGACCCAUCAUCACGGCAGACUUUGAGUAGGUAGAAGUUAUGAGUCAUCAUUAUUGCUCUGUUUCUGGAUGAUUUUAUCUUCAAGAGGGGCUAUUUUUCUAUUUUCCAGGUGGGAAGCCAAAUGGGAAACCAGUGAAGUGACCAUGGGUGCCAGAGACCUGAAAAGGCGGGCAGGGAAGUGACCAUGGGUGCCAAAGAGCUGAGGAGCAUGGCAGGGAAGUGAGACCUGGG